CGAAAUUCCUUGUCGGGUAAGUUCCGACCUGCACGAAUGGCGUAAUGAUGGCCAGGCUGUCUCCACCCGAGACUCAGUGAAAUUGAACUCGCUGUGAAGAUGCAGUGUACCCGCGGCAAGACGGAAAGACCCCGUGAACCUUUACUAUAGCUUGACACUGAACAUUGAGCCUUGAUGUGUAGGAUAGGUGGGAGGCUUUGAAGUGUGGACGCCAGUCUGCAUGGAGCCGACCUUGAAAUACCACCCUUUAAUGUUUGAUGUUCUAACGUUGGCCCGUAAUCCGGGUUGCGGACAGUGUCUGGUGGGUAGUUUGACUGGGGCGGUCUCCUCCUAAAGAGUAACGGAGGAGCACGAAGGUUGGCUAAUCCUGGUCGGACAUCAGGAGGUUAGUGCAAUGGCAUAAGCCAGCUUGACUGCGAGCGUGACGGCGCGAGCAGGUGCGAAAGCAGGUCAUAGUGAUCCGGUGGUUCUGAAUGGAAGGGCCAUCGCUCAACGGAUAAAAGGUACUCCGGGGAUAACAGGCUGAUACCGCCCAAGAGUUCAUAUCGACGGCGGUGUUUGGCACCUCGAUGUCGGCUCAUCACAUCCUGGGGCUGAAGUAGGUCCCAAGGGUAUGGCUGUUCGCCAUUUAAAGUGGUACGCGAGCUGGGUUUAGAACGUCGUGAGACAGUUCGGUCCCUAUCUGCCGUGGGCGCUGGAGAACUGAGGGGGGCUGCUCCUAGUACGAGAGGACCGGAGUGGACGCAUCACUGGUGUUCGGGUUGUCAUGCCAAUGGCACUGCCCGGUAGCUAAAUGCGGAAGAGAUAAGUGCUGAAAGCAUCUAAGCACGAAACUUGCCCCGAGAUGAGUUCUCCCUGAGACUUAGAGUCUCCUGAAGGAACGUUGAAGACGACGACGUUGAUAGGCCGGGUGUGUAAGCGCAGCGAUGCGUUGAGCUAACCGGUACUAAUGAACCGUGAGGCUUAACCUU
RNAcentral lists this ribosomal RNA (971 nucleotides) under Escherichia coli KTE215. RNAcentral describes it as "bacterial LSU rRNA". It matches the Rfam family "Bacterial large subunit ribosomal RNA", at positions 1960 to 2925 of the family's 2925-position model. The record is from RNAcentral. Lineage: Bacteria; Pseudomonadati; Pseudomonadota; Gammaproteobacteria; Enterobacterales; Enterobacteriaceae.